This 443-nucleotide ribosomal RNA is filed under the name uncultured bacterium. RNAcentral's name for it is "partial 16S ribosomal RNA". It matches the Rfam family "Bacterial small subunit ribosomal RNA", at positions 338 to 795 of the family's 1533-position model. The record is from RNAcentral.
CCUACGGGGGGCAGCAGUGGGGAAUAUUGGACAAUGGGGGGAACCCUGAUCCAGCGACGCCGCGUGAGUGAAGAAGUCUUUCGGUAUUUAAAGCUCUAUCAGCAGGGAAGAAAGAAAUGACGGUACCUGACUAAGAAGCCCCGGCUAACUACGUGCCAGCAGCCGCGGUAAUCCGUAGGGGGCAAGGGUUCUCCGGAUUUACUGGGUGUAAAGGGAGCGUAGACGGCGAUGCAAGUCUGAAGUGAAAGGCGGGGGCCCAACCCCUGGACUGCUUUGGAAACUGGAUGGCUGGAGUGCAGGAGAGGUAAGUGGAAUUCCUAGUGUAGCGGUGAAAUGCGUAGAUAUUAGGAGGAACACCAGUGGCGAAGGCGGCUUACUGGACUGUAACUGACGUUGAGGCUCGAAAGCGUGGGGAGCAAACAGGAUUAGAUACCCCUGUAGUC